UCUGCUGAAGGCUUUGGUAGCUAAUGUGGUAUGACAUGUGGGUGAUGUGGAGAGGGAAGGGGAGGAAAAGGGGGCAGGAGGCAGAGCCAGGAGUAGUGAGGCUGCUUCAAGGGGCAGGGUUGGUUUGCAUGGAGAAAGGUAAUUUGAGCAGUUCAUCCCAGCCUUCUAGUCUCCUGGCAACAGUGAAGAGCAGACCAUGCUGGGACCACUAUUUUAAUCAACCUAAUUGCAGAUCCUUCCUCUCCUCCCCCAGCAAUCAGCCUCCUGGAAGAUGGAAAACCCUUUUGAGCACGUCAUCUAAAGGACUUGAAGACUCUAGUUUGCCACGCUGCAGUUACACAUUGCUCAGAUCUAUGUAGUACUCUUGUUUCAUGUUCCCUACCUGUAAUCAAGUUGUUACUCUUUUGGGGGGGUUGCAUUUUUUCCCCUGUUAUAUUAAAAUGAAUUUGUUGCUUCAA
Molecule: long non-coding RNA, 458 nt
Organism: Pezoporus flaviventris
Lineage: Eukaryota; Metazoa; Chordata; Aves; Psittaciformes; Psittacidae
Exons: 2
Source: RefSeq, a predicted model, not a curated record